This is a non-coding RNA of Lolium perenne, 1145 nucleotides long. Lineage: Eukaryota; Viridiplantae; Streptophyta; Magnoliopsida; Poales; Poaceae. The record is from RefSeq and is a predicted model, not a curated record.
UUGAGCUAUCUCUUCUUGGGCUGGACGAGCAUCUCCAAUUGUCCAUACGAGAACCAGCCAAUAGCCGUCUGCAUCCUUUUCUCCAUCGAUCGGACUACACUUCCUCUUCGCCAUUGAUCCCUGGGACCGAACCUCUCAUCCUCUCCCACCAUGAUCCCCAAGAGAAAUAACUAUACUAAAAACUGAUGGAAGCAUAUGAUGAAUUGGCUCAGGUUUCCUCCAGGAUCCAGCCCGGGUUGGAAUCUUCAAUCUUUUCCUCUUGAUCUCCUCACUCAACAAUAUUUGAAUCUCCAUUACAUUUCGAUCGUGUGUUGGAUGCUCUCCUCUGGAAGCGCGGCCGAGGCCCGAGCAACAGACCAAGCUGGAUGAACGAGCUUCAGCACGGGAAACAUUCAACCAGAGCUGAUAAUUGAUACAUGGAUUGCAUCUUCAACUAUACUGUUAGUUGCAGACCAAAGUCUGAGGUUGCAACAACGUUGCUCUGCCCUUCUUCAGCUGUGAACAGCAGUAGCAAUGUCGAUCUCGUCAGUUAAGACAGCAGUCAACAAUUGAGUAGUGACGGAAAGGAUCAAUCUGGAACCCACUCGUGGGAUCAUGAUGUGUUUGAGUUCUACUACUAAGAGUCAGUAGAGAGCAGCCGUCGAGGCCAGCCACUCGCCCACCCCACAGCCGGGAGCUCGUGGGCGUCCUCUCCAGACCCCAGUUUCCUCCGAUCCCUUCCAUCCGAGCAGCAGCACCUCCGACCUCUCGGUGCUGUUCCUGGGCGAGGCCGUUCCCGGGAGGACGACGCGGCGGCGACGGGAGCUUUAUUUACGAAUACUUUGCCGGCGGCGGCGGUGGAGCGCGCCGGGGCGACGAGGAGAAUCGGGGUGAGGGCGACGGAGGAUUUGGCCGUGAGGGAAUCGGUGAGGACGGCGCGGAAGAGUUACCUGGCUUUCCGGAGAAAAAAUAGUACCACAUCGCUAGCAGUUAGAUCGAUCCACUUGUUUAAAUACACGGCCAGGUCGCACAGGCACGUCUACGGCAUGUAGACAGUAGCAGAGAACAUGUAUGUAUGUACAAUGUAUGUAUUAAUAUAUAUGUACAGAUAAAUUAUAAAUUAUGAUGUAUGUACAUUAAAACAUGUACAUAAAAGGCGCUAGACA